AUGACGUCAAGUCCUCAUGGCCUUUAUGUCUAGGGCUACACACGUACUACAAUGGCCGGUACAAAGGGCAGCCACUCAGCGAUGAGGCGCUAAUCCCAUAAAGCCGGUCUCAGUCCGGAUCGCAGUCUGCAACUCGACUGCGUGAAGUUGGAGUCGCUAGUAAUCGUAGAUCAGCAUGCUACGGUGAAUACGUUCCCGGGCCUU
RNAcentral lists this ribosomal RNA (204 nucleotides) under uncultured Desulfovibrio sp. RNAcentral's name for it is "partial 16S ribosomal RNA". It matches the Rfam family "Bacterial small subunit ribosomal RNA", at positions 1179 to 1382 of the family's 1533-position model. Lineage: Bacteria; Pseudomonadati; Thermodesulfobacteriota; Desulfovibrionia; Desulfovibrionales; Desulfovibrionaceae. The record is from RNAcentral.